RNAcentral lists this ribosomal RNA (254 nucleotides) under uncultured bacterium. RNAcentral describes it as "partial 16S ribosomal RNA". It matches the Rfam family "Bacterial small subunit ribosomal RNA", at positions 524 to 776 of the family's 1533-position model. The record is from RNAcentral.
UACGGGGGGAGCAAGCGUUGUUCGGAUUUACUGGGCGUAAAGGGCGCGUAGGCGGCCACUGCAAGUCAGUUGUGAAAUCUCCGGGCUUAACCCGGAAAGGUCAACUGAUACUGCAGGGCUAGAGUGCAGAAGGGGCAACUGGAAUUCUCGGUGUAGCGGUGAAAUGCGUAGAUAUCUGGAGGAACACCGGUGGCGAAGGCGGCAUCCUGGACCGACACUGACGCUGAGGAGCGAAAGCCAGGGGAGCAAACGGG